This 117-nucleotide ribosomal RNA is filed under the name Clostridium botulinum. Lineage: Bacteria; Bacillati; Bacillota; Clostridia; Eubacteriales; Clostridiaceae. The record is from RNAcentral.
UCUGGUGAUUAUGGCUUGAAGGUAACACCCGUUUCCAUGCCGAACACGAAGGUUAAGCUUCAAAGAGCUGAUGGUACUGCAGGGGAGGCCCUGUGGAAGAGUAAGUCGUUGCCAGAU